AGCGAAAUGCGAUAAGUAAUGUGAAUUGCAGAAUUCAGUGAAUCAUCGAAUCUUUGAACGCACAUUGCACCCCCUGGUAUUCCGGGGGGUAUGCCUGUUCGAGCGUCAUUAUCAACCCUCAAGCACAGCUUGCUGUUGGGUCCUCGUCCCCUGCGUCGUCAGGCGGACGUGCCCGGAAUGCCAUGACAGCUCCGCCCCGUCUCCAGCGCAGUAAGAUUUGACAUCACCGCURAGAUUGGGCGCGGAACGCUGGACAGCCCCCCCAAAUUGUCUUAUGAUUGACCUCGGAUCAGGUAGGGAUACCCGCUGAACUUAAGCAUAUCAAUAAGCGGAGGAAAAGAAACCAACCGGGAUUGCCUCAGUAACGGCGAGUGAAGCGGCAAGAGCUCAAAUUUGAAAUCUGGCCUCCUUCGGGGCCCGAGUUGUAAUUUGCAGAGGAUGUUUCGGGUUCGGCUGCGGUCUAAGUUCCUUGGAACAGGACGUCCUGGAGGGUGAGAAUCCCGUGUGGGACCGCCGGCCACGCCCAUGUGAAACGCCUUCGACGAGUCGAGUUGUUUGGGAAUGCAGCUCCAAAUGGGUGGUAAAUUUCAUCUAAAGCUAAAUACUGGCCAGAGACCGAUAGCGCACAAGUAGAGUGAUCGAAAGAUGAAAAGCACUUUGGAAAGAGAGUUAAACAGCAUGUGAAAUUGUUGAAAGGGAAGCGCUGGCCACCAGACUUGGCUCCGGGUGCUCAACCGCGCGUUCUUCGCCGGUGCACUCGCCCGGAAACAGGCCAGCAUCGGUUCAGGCGGCCGGACAAAGGUCCCCGGAAUGUAGCUUCCCCCGGGGAGUGUUAUAGCCGGGGGCGCAAUGCGGUCCGCCUGGACCGAGGAUCGCGCUUCGGCUCGGAUGCUGGCGUAAUGGUGGUCAGCG
This 912-nucleotide ribosomal RNA is filed under the name Chaenothecopsis viridireagens. Its description in RNAcentral is "eukaryotic LSU rRNA". The stretch from base 280 to 912 matches the Rfam family "Eukaryotic large subunit ribosomal RNA", at positions 1 to 646 of the family's 3401-position model. The record is from RNAcentral. Lineage: Eukaryota; Fungi; Ascomycota; Eurotiomycetes; Mycocaliciales; Mycocaliciaceae.